AUGAAACCGAUGAAGUGGAGAUCAAGAUAAUGAUGCCCGUAAAGAGAGUCGCCGUUGCUGAGAGUGCGAUCGAACGCAAAUUAUUAAAUGGACCACUGAGGGCGCGACUAACGAACAGCUUUGUUCUACUACCUCGCGACGAUAGGGAGCCGUCAAUUCCCGGGAAUGUGUUUGCAUUUCGCUAAGCUGGGACCCAAGUCUAACCUGAAUGGGGUAAUUUGGUGUCCAACCAAGGUGGUACCGCGGAAAAAUCCGUCCUUGAC
RNAcentral lists this non-coding RNA (263 nucleotides) under Lactiplantibacillus plantarum. Lineage: Bacteria; Bacillati; Bacillota; Bacilli; Lactobacillales; Lactobacillaceae. The record is from RNAcentral.